Long non-coding RNA from Amblyraja radiata (thorny skate), 437 nucleotides. RefSeq lists it as uncharacterized. The transcript is spliced from 3 exons. The record is from RefSeq and is a predicted model, not a curated record. NCBI's taxonomy places the organism in Eukaryota, Metazoa, Chordata, Chondrichthyes, Rajiformes, Rajidae.
GAAGUUGUUUGUAACACAGUGUAGAAUGCGCGGAGCAGUCACUACCCACAAUGUGCUGCAGGCAGUGAAGUUAGUGGCACUCAUGGACUAAGUGAUGUUUCCUCCCUCACUAGAUCUCAGUUUUGCCAGCGCUUGCAUGGAGUUCUACAUGAGCUCUGACGACACAGAGAUGGAGUCCAGCGUGUGUCCAGGCAGCAGCUCGUGGACCGGCAGCCUGAGUAAACGGCAGCAUCUCCCCCACAGCGGACACGUCUGUGAGAUGGUGGCCCGCAACUUCCGCUUGAGGGACAAGGCCCUGCUCCUCAACACAUUUGAACUCCAGCCGUCCAGUUUCAAUGGAGUGCGGCCGGAUUUUGGCAAGAAGCUGCAACAGUGCGAGUCGGCGUGUUGCCGUGGUUACUACACCGUCACCAUUUUAGGGCUGGACGGGGAGCUGU